Molecule: non-coding RNA, 119 nt
Filed under: Proboscia alata
Lineage: Eukaryota; Bacillariophyta; Melosirophyceae; Probosciales; Probosciaceae
Source: RNAcentral
AAUAAGUCCUAAAUAAAACAGAAAAGAUCCAAAAAAAAUAAUCCCUUCCGUACUCUUUUUUUUUUUUGUUAUUGUUGUUUGCUGCCGCCGCCCCCUCGUUUUUUUCUUCUUUUCUAAUU